UACAGAGACUGCAAGCGUUAUUCGGAUUCACUGGGCGUAAAGGGUGCGUAGGCGGCGCGGUAAGUCGGGUGUGAAAUCUCGGAGCUUAACUCCGAAACUGCAUUCGAUACUGCCGUGCUUGAGGACUGGAGAGGAGACUGGAAUUUACGGUGUAGCGGUGAAAUGCGUAGAUAUCGUAAGGAAGACCAGUGGCGAAGGCGGGUCUCUGGACAGUUCCUGACACUGAGGCACGAAGGCCAGGGGAGCAAACGGG
RNAcentral lists this ribosomal RNA (253 nucleotides) under uncultured bacterium. Its description in RNAcentral is "partial 16S ribosomal RNA". It matches the Rfam family "Bacterial small subunit ribosomal RNA", at positions 524 to 776 of the family's 1533-position model. The record is from RNAcentral.